GUUGAUAGAGGGAUCUGCUGCAGAAAAAGGAGAGAGAGAAAAGGUAAAUGCUAGCUACGAGAGCAGAGAGAGGAAGAGAGAGAGAGCGACAGUGACUGAGAAGAAGAAGAAGAAGGAGAAGAAAAGUGGUAAUCAGGAGUGAGAGGCAAUCUCGUUGAUUGGACAAUCGAAAAUGGUCAGCCACAUGGAGGCAGAAAAAGUUGUCGGGGGGAAGAUGGGCACUCAACUUUGCGAUAAAAAAACCCAACUUUGGAAUCCCUAAAGUUCGUUGAAAGUUGAAAGGAACUAGAACUCGAGCGGCACCAGACUUCAAAAUGUCUAUCAUAGAUUCAGAGCGGACGGGAAAAUCAUUAGCACGCGAGAAAUCGAACGUCUUUGGUUAUUGUUGAGUGAUUUCUUUUACGUAUAAGCGCGAUUUGGUGGAAGAUUUACUCGAAAAAUUUUGUAAAUACUUCUGGUUCCCCCUAGACUCGAAGCAAAUGUUAGGAAUUUAGUAAUGUUUUGCUAGCCCAAAAUUAAGAUGGUAGUUGAUGUAGGUGAGUGAAGGACCCGAUCGAGAAUGGGGCUUGAACAUUGUCCAGGAAGUGUGUCUAUUGGGAUAGGGUCCAUGCUUGAUGAUUUCAAAAGAUUUUGCCUUCUCCGUUUGUA
This is a long non-coding RNA of Carica papaya (papaya), 648 nucleotides long. RefSeq lists it as uncharacterized. The record is from RefSeq and is a predicted model, not a curated record. Lineage: Eukaryota; Viridiplantae; Streptophyta; Magnoliopsida; Brassicales; Caricaceae.